RNAcentral lists this ribosomal RNA (428 nucleotides) under uncultured bacterium. Its description in RNAcentral is "partial 16S ribosomal RNA". It matches the Rfam family "Bacterial small subunit ribosomal RNA", at positions 354 to 796 of the family's 1533-position model. The record is from RNAcentral.
GUAGGGAAUAUUGCACAAUGGAGGAAACUCUGAUGCAGCGACGCCGCGUGAGUGAUGAAGGCCUUCGGGUCGUAAAGCUCUGUCGCAGGGGAAUAACACAAUGAAGGUACCCUGUGAGGAAGGAUCGGCUAACUUCGUGCCAGCAGCCGCGGUAAGACGAGGGAUCCUAGCGUUGCUCGGAAUCAUUGGGCGUAAAGAGGGCGUAGGUGGCUUGGUAAGUCAGGUGUGAAAGCCCAGGGCUCAACCCUGGAAGUGCAUUUGAUACUGCUGAGCUUGAGUGUCGGAGAGGUUACCGGAAUACCUGGUGUAGUGGUGAAAUACGUAGAUAUCAGGUGGAACACCGGAGGCGAAGGCGGGUAACUGGACGAACACUGACACUGAGGCCCGAAAGCGUGGGGAUCAAACAGGAUUAGAAACCCCAGUAGUCC